AUAAUUUCAUGGUUCAGGCUUUAGAGAUAAAGAAGUCACUAAAUUAUUUGGGGGUAACAGACCCCGAAUAAUUAUCUUAAAAACAGAUUAGGAUUAGAAUUUGUUGCUGACGUGUUUAGGCUGUAAUGGUCGUAUUUAUUUAUUUAUUUAUUUUUGUUAAUUUUCUUUUCUUGUGGAAAAACAUUCACAUAUUAAUUCAAUCAGAGCUCUACAACUGAAGCACUGGUGAAAUGAAAAGCUGUGGGCUUCAUGAAUAAGAGAACUUAAAAUGAAGUCUCUAAUGUGAGAUUUUUUUUUAUUUUUUUUUAUUUUCACCAACUUAAUUAAAACUGUAAAUUCAGAGGUGUCAUGAUGGUGUGGUAGUUAGCACUGACACAUCACACCAAGAGGAUCCUGAGUUUGGAUUCACUGGCCAUCUGGGGCCCUUCUGCAUGGAGUUUGCAUGUUCUCUGCGUGCCUGCUCGGGUUUUUACUGGGUGCACAGGCUUUCUUCCAAAUAAUUAUUGGGUUAAUAAACUGGCCAUAGGUGUUGUUAGGGUUCAAUGUUGAGAGAAGAAUCCAUAAAAACCACAGAUCCAGGCGUGUGCAAUUUAGACGGCAUUUUAAUGAACACAUGUGUGAGUUCAACAACCCAAUCAGUGUUGAACUGAACUUACAAUCAUGAGACAAGGUUUUAUAUGGGUACAAUAACAAAGCCCCCCUCUUUUACAAAAAUAGACAAUAGUACAGCUUACGUCAAUCCAAACCACAAAAUGUUCCCUGACCUUUAACAUUGCUCUAAAAAACAUUGUCUUCGGGUCGGUGCUUCCCCUCUUCGCUGUCGCUCGUCUGGUGCACUUCCUCUAAGUACGUCGGCACACUUCUGCAUUUCUGUGUGUAUGUGUCUGCAGUGUAUGCUACGUACGUGUCAUGACCUCUCACUAUUUGUCUGUGUGUACGUGCAGAUUUGCAUCUGCUUUCUGAACCUUAGUUGACCUCAACUUAAGCAACCAACCAGGCUAAGGCCAUCCUGUGUGUAAUGAUCUUGACUUAUAUGUGAAAUAUAUAAACAACUGUUUCAAUCUACCACAACUGCUUAAGGCUUAAUCCGCAAUAAAUGCAUACUAAACACCCUUGCACUUAAACUUCUGGCUUCAGUUUCACUUCUGCAAAACAUGCUCUGCAGACGCGUUUUGUUUCCUGUCUCAUUUUGGCACAGAGAGUAUUGUCCUGUCUCUGCCCUCUACACAGAGAUCAUAAAAGCAUUAAUAACAUUUAAAUUAUAGAUUCAACAGAACCAUUUAAAAUGGUUCUUCUUUGGACCUGUAAUAAAGGCUAUAACCAUAUAUUUGAACAUCUGAAUGCAUCUAACUGCAACCUCACUAUUAAUACUGAAAUGUUAAUGAUGAUUAUAAAAAUAGCAGCAACUAAUAGCAGGACAAUAUUUCUAUUCCUG
Molecule: long non-coding RNA, 1435 nt
Organism: Oreochromis aureus
Lineage: Eukaryota; Metazoa; Chordata; Actinopteri; Cichliformes; Cichlidae
Source: Ensembl